GGAAGGAUCAUUAACCAGUCCGGAUAACGGAAAAAGGCACGCGGGGGGAGAUCCGUCGCCAGCGGCUGCGACUCCCGCUGUCCUGUCCCGCCCACCCUCUCCGUGUACCUCUCCAUGUUGCUUUCCUGGGACGGUUGGCCCAGCCUGCCCGGUGGUGGGCUCCUCGUUUCCCCGUCUGUUGGGGCGCUGAGGUGCCCGCGGCCGAGUUUCCCGGGGAAGGUACCCUUCAUAAAUCCCCUGCAGCAACCUGUCUGACACAGGCCCAUGGCCAUUGCUACAUAAUUACAUAAAACUUUCAACAACGGAUCUCUUGGUUCUCGCAUCGAUGAAGAACGCAGCGAAAUGCGAUAAGUAAUGUGAAUUGCAGAAUUCCGUGAAUCAUCGAAUCUUUGAACGCACAUUGCGCCCUCUGGCAUUCCUCAGGGCAUGCCUGUUCGAGCGUCACAGAAAGCCCCCCCUCACACACAAGCUGUGGUGAUGUCGUUGGUGAGCCUCAACCGGCUCCACCACGUCCAAAUCCAUGGGCGGACAACUGAUCUCAGCAGCUGACUUAGUAAGAUAGAGUUCAUCUGCAGUACUUGCUGUCAGAAGGAACAUCAGUCAGGAGCUAGGUUACGUCCCGUCCCCGCCUCAUUGGAACCCCCCCAUGAAAUUAUCUUUGGGUUGACCUCGGAUCAGGUAGGGAUACCCGCUGAACUUAAGCAUAUCAAUAAGCGGAGG
RNAcentral lists this ribosomal RNA (720 nucleotides) under fungal sp. P5M4_5a. Its description in RNAcentral is "eukaryotic LSU rRNA". The stretch from base 291 to 444 matches the Rfam family "5.8S ribosomal RNA". Lineage: Eukaryota; Fungi. RNAcentral also lists the same sequence under 1 other name. The record is from RNAcentral.